RNAcentral lists this transfer RNA (66 nucleotides) under Oryzaephilus surinamensis (saw-toothed grain beetle). RNAcentral describes it as "tRNA-Asn". The record is from RNAcentral. Lineage: Eukaryota; Metazoa; Arthropoda; Insecta; Coleoptera; Silvanidae.
UUAAUUGAAACCAAAAACAGAGGUAUAUCACUGUUAAUGAUAUCAUUGGAUUUAAUCCCAAUUAAA